AGAGUUUGAUCAUGGCUCAGAUUGAACGCUGGCGGCAUGCCUUACACAUGCAAGUCGAACGCGAAAGGGGGGCAACCCCCGAGUAGAGUGGCGAACGGGUGAGUAAUGCAUCGGAACGUACCCAGUAGCGGGGGAUAACCUCUCGAAAGAGAGGCUAAUACCGCAUACGACCUACGGGUGAAAGAGGGGGAUCGCAAGACCUCUCACUAUUGGAGCGGCCGAUGUCGGAUUAGCUAGUUGGUGGGGUAAAAGCCUACCAAGGCCACGAUCCGUAGCUGGUCUGAGAGGACGGCCAGCCACACUGGAACUGAGACACGGUCCAGACUCCUACGGGAGGCAGCAGUGGGGAAUUUUAGACAAUGGGCGAAAGCCUGAUCCAGCCAUGCCGCGUGAGUGAAGAAGGCCUUCGGGUUGUAAAGCUCUUUCGGCUGGGACGAAAAGGUCCGUGCUAACACCACGGAUCCAUGACGGUACCAGCAGAAGAAGCACCGGCUAACUACGUGCCAGCAGCCGCGGUAAUACGUAGGGUGCAGGCGUUAAUCGGAAUUACUGGGCGUAAAGCGUGCGCAGGCGGUUUGCUAAGACAGGUGUGAAAUCCCCGGGCUUAACCUGGGAACUGCGCUUGUAACUGGCAAGCUUGAGUGUGGCAGAGGGGGGUGGAAUUCCACGUGUAGCAGUGAAAUGCGUAGAGAUGUGGAGGA
This 701-nucleotide ribosomal RNA is filed under the name uncultured beta proteobacterium. RNAcentral's name for it is "bacterial SSU rRNA". It matches the Rfam family "Bacterial small subunit ribosomal RNA", at positions 8 to 705 of the family's 1533-position model. Lineage: Bacteria; Pseudomonadati; Pseudomonadota; Betaproteobacteria. The record is from RNAcentral.